GACGAACGCUGGCGGCGCGCUUAACACAUGCAAGUCGAACGGAAAGGUCUGCUUUCCCUUGUGGAUUGCGGGUACUCGAGUGGCGAACGGGUGAGUAACACGUGAGUGAUCUGCCCCCAACUUGGGUAUAAGCCUGGGAAACUGGGUCUAAUUCCCGAUAGGACUGCAGGGUGGUGCCUGUGGUGGAAAACGAUUUUCUAGUGGUUGGGGAUGAGCUCGCGGCCUAUCAGCUUGUUGGUGGGGUAAUGGCCUACCAAGGCGGCGACGGGUAGCCGGCCUGAGAGGGUGGACGGCCACAUUGGGACUGAGAUACGGCCCAGACUCCUACGGGAGGCAGCAGUGGGGAAUAUUGCACAAUGGGCGGAAGCCUGAUGCAGCGACGCCGCGUGGGGGAUGACGGCCUUCGGGUUGUAAACUCCUUUCGACCGCGAGGAAGCCACCUGGUUGGAAGGGUGGUGACGGUAGUGGUAGAAGAAGCACCGGCUAACUACGUG
Molecule: ribosomal RNA, 494 nt
Filed under: uncultured bacterium
Lineage: Bacteria
Description: partial 16S ribosomal RNA
Rfam family: Bacterial small subunit ribosomal RNA
Source: RNAcentral